AGUGAACGCUGGCGGUAGGCCUAACACAUGCAAGUCGAACGGCAGCACAGUAAGCGCUUGCUCUUACGGUUGGCGAGUGGCGGACGGGUGAGGAAUACAUCGGAAUCUACUUUUUCGUGGGGGAUAACGUAGGGCCACUUACGCUAAUACCGCAUACGACCUACCGGUGAAAGCAGUGGAUCUUCGCACCUUGCGCGAUUGAAUGAGCCGAUGUCGGAUUAGCUAGUUGGCGGGGUAAGGGCCCACCAAGGCGACGAUACGUAGCUGGUCUGAGAGGAUGAUCAGCCACACUGGAACUGAGACACGGUCCAGACUCCUACGGGAGGCAGCAGUGGGGAAUAUUGGACAAUGGGCGCAAGCCUGAUGCAGCCAUGCCGCGUGAGUGAAGAAGGCCUUCGGGUUGUAAAGCCCUUUUGUUGGGAAAGAAAAGCAGCAGGUGAAUACCCCGCUGUUCUGACGGUACCUAAAGAAUAAGCACCGGCUAACUUCGUG
This 492-nucleotide ribosomal RNA is filed under the name uncultured bacterium. Its description in RNAcentral is "partial 16S ribosomal RNA". It matches the Rfam family "Bacterial small subunit ribosomal RNA", at positions 29 to 507 of the family's 1533-position model. The record is from RNAcentral.